UAAUACCAUAUAUAUCUCUUUCUCUCUCCAUCAUCACUCAAAAUUGAAAACCCUAAUUGUUCAACCGCUAUCUCUCCUUCUUUCUCUUGUGCUACAAAAGGCCAAACUUUGGCCAUUUCUCUCGUGCAAACACCAAUCGACCUCAACACCUCUGCUCCUCAGGCGAACUCGUGCAAUCGUAGGGCCAAAUGGCCUCCGGUGAUUUGUCUCGCGCGUUCAAUCGGGAGGACAGCAAUUAUACGCCAACUUGCUGGCCGAAUUGUACGGAUGAGUCAGCAGAAAUUUGCUUCUAAUGUUGUUAAGAAGUGCUUAUCUUUCGGUGCUGCUGAGGAGCGUCAACUUUUGGUGAAUGAAAUGCUUGGUUACACCAAGGAAAAUGAACCCUUAUAGGCCAUGAUGAAAGAUCCAUUUGGAAAGUAUGUUGUUCAGAAAGUUUUCGUGAUGAGAAGCUCAUUGCAACUGGAGAAAGGCGGAUAAGUAUGUCAUCAUUUGCACUUUGUUUUUCUUGAACUAUCUCAAUUUGGAGCAAGGCAUUUUAAUCUUGCCACCACCAAAGAGCAUGCACUGUUUUGUACAGCUAUCAUGGAUGGUGACUUUUUUGAGCUCAUUUACAAAGAUUAUUGGUUGUAAAUAAACACCUAUCUAUAGAUCCACAUGAAUAAGAUCCUUGUCUACCUAUUUAUUGUAUGAUUGGCUUAGUCGUUAUCUGAGUGAGAAUUCCAUAGAAAAGGGGGGUAUUUUGUGCUGUCUGGCGAGUUCUCCUUAACUAUCCUUUUGAGAGUACCAAUUUACCAAAGUAAAAUAUUUUGUAAAGCAAUUAUACUUGUAUUUUUUUUGAAUCACUUACUGUAUUAAUGCUAUUAAUUAUAAUGUAAUUAUUUUUGUGUA
Molecule: long non-coding RNA, 888 nt
Organism: Cannabis sativa
Lineage: Eukaryota; Viridiplantae; Streptophyta; Magnoliopsida; Rosales; Cannabaceae
Exons: 3
Source: RefSeq, a predicted model, not a curated record